Molecule: ribosomal RNA, 1531 nt
Filed under: Thermomicrobium roseum
Lineage: Bacteria; Pseudomonadati; Thermomicrobiota; Thermomicrobia; Thermomicrobiales; Thermomicrobiaceae
Description: bacterial SSU rRNA
Rfam family: Bacterial small subunit ribosomal RNA
Source: RNAcentral
GGGAUGGAGAGUUUGAUCCUGGCUCAGGGGGAACGCUGGCGGCGUGCCUAAUGCAUGCAAGUCGGACGGGAGCGCGCGAUGAGCGCGCCGACCGUGGCGGACGGGUGCGUAACACGUGGGGAACCUGCCCUGGUGCGGGGGAUAACCCGGGGAAACUCGGGCUAAUACCCCAUACGCUCGUCGAGCGGUGGGCUUGACGAGGAAAGGCCGUGGAGAGCGGCUGCGCUAGGAGGGCCCUGCGGCCUAUCAGCUAGACGGUAGGGUAACGGCCUACCGUGGCGAUGACGGGUAGCUGGUCUGAGAGGAUGGCCAGCCACACGGGCACUGAGACACGGGCCCGACUCCUACGGGAGGCAGCAGCAGGGAAUCUUCCGCAAUGGGGGCAACCCUGACGGAGCGACGCCGCGUGCGGGAGGAAGCCCUUCGGGGUGUAAACCGCUGUUCGGGGGGACGACGGGGAGACGGUACCCCCGGAGCAAGUCCCGGCUAACUACGUGCCAGCAGCCGCGGUAAGACGUAGGGGGCGAGCGUUACCCGGAGUCACUGGGCGUAAAGGGCGUGUAGGCGGCUGGGUACGCCGCGUGUGAAAGCCCCCGGCUCAACCGGGGAGGGUCGCGCGGGACGGCCUGGCUCGAGGGCGGGAGAGGCGGGUGGAAUUCCCGGUGUAGCGGUGAAAUGCGUAGAGCUCGGGAGGAACACCGGUGGCGAAGGCGGCCCGCUGGCCCGUACCUGACGCUGAGGCGCGAAGGCGUGGGGAGCGAACCGGAUUAGAUACCCGGGUAGUCCACGCAGUAAACGAUGCGGGCGAGGUGUGGGUGGAGUUGACCCCAUCCGUGCCGGCGCCAACGCAGUAAGCCCGCCGCCUGGGGAGUACGGCCGCAAGGCUAAAACUCAAAGGAAUUGACGGGGGCCCGCACAAGCAGCGGAGCGUGUGGUUUAAUUCGACGCAACGCGAAGAACCUUACCAGGGCUUGACAUGCCCCGGAACCCUGCCGAAAGGUGGGGGUGCCCGUUGAGGGAGCCGGGGCACAGGUGCUGCAUGGCUGUCGUCAGCUCGUGCCGUGAGGUGUUGGGUUAAGUCCCGCAACGAGCGCAACCCUCGGGGUCAGUUACGCGGGUGUCUGACCCGACUGCCGGGGAAAGCCCGGAGGAAGGAGGGGAUGACGUCAAGUCAGCAUGGCCCUGACGCCCUGGGCGACACACACGCUACAGUGACCGGGACAGAGGGCAGCGAAGGGGCGACCCGGAGCCAAUCCCAGAAACCCGGUCGUGGUGGGGAUCGCAGGCUGCAACCCGCCUGCGUGAACGCGGAGUUGCUAGUAACCGCCGGUCAGCCAUACGGCGGUGAAUACGUUCCCGGGCCUUGUACACACCGCCCGUCACGUCACGAAAGCUGGUCUCACCUGAAGCCGGUGGGCCAACCUGGGGGGAAGCUCCUGGGGGGCAGCCGUCUAAGGUGGGGCUGGUGAUUGGGACGAAGUCGUAACAAGGUAGCCGUACCGGAAGGUGCGGCUGGAUCACCUCCUUUCUA